GAUGAACGCUGGCGGCGUGCCUAAUACAUGCAAGUCGAGCGAACAGAUAAGGAGCUUGCUCCUUUGACGUUAGCGGCGGACGGGUGAGUAACACGUGGGUAACCUACCUAUAAGACUGGAAUAACUCCGGGAAACCGGGGCUAAUGCCGGAUAACAUUUAGAACCGCAUGGUUCUAAAGUGAAAGAUGGUUUUGCUAUCACUUAUAGAUGGACCCGCGCCGUAUUAGCUAGUUGGUAAGGUAACGGCUUACCAAGGCAACGAUACGUAGCCGACCUGAGAGGGUGAUCGGCCACACUGGAACUGAGACACGGUCCAGACUCCUACGGGAGGCAGCAGUAGGGAAUCUUCCGCAAAGGGCGAAAGCCUGACGGAGCAACGCCGCGUGAGUGAUGAAGGUCUUCGGGUCGUAAAGCUCUGUUAUUAGGGAAGAACAAAUGUGUAAGUAACUGUGCACGUCUUGACGGUACCUAAUCAGAAAGCCACGGCUAACUACGUG
This 497-nucleotide ribosomal RNA is filed under the name uncultured bacterium. RNAcentral describes it as "partial 16S ribosomal RNA". It matches the Rfam family "Bacterial small subunit ribosomal RNA", at positions 28 to 507 of the family's 1533-position model. The record is from RNAcentral.